Molecule: ribosomal RNA, 443 nt
Filed under: uncultured bacterium
Lineage: Bacteria
Description: partial 16S ribosomal RNA
Rfam family: Bacterial small subunit ribosomal RNA
Source: RNAcentral
CCUACGGGAGGCAGCAGUGGGGAAUAUUGGGCAAUGGAGGAAACUCUGACCCAGCAACGCCGCGUGAAGGAUGAAGGUCUUCGGAUUGUACACUUCUUUUCUAAGGGAAGAAGCAAGUGACGGUACCUUACGAAUAAGCCUCGGCUAACUACGUGCCAGCAGCCGCGGUAAUACGUAGGAGGCAAGCGUUAUCCGGAAGGACUGGGCGUAAAGGGUGCGGAGGGGGUUUGACAAGUUGGUAGCGGAACCCCGGGGCUCAACCUCGGCACUACUACCAAAACUGUCGGACUUGAGUGCAGGAGGGGCAAAUGGAAUUCCUAGUGUAGCGGUGGAAUGCGUAGAUAUUAGGAGGAACACCAGUGGCGAAGGCGAUUUGCUGGACGGUAACUGACACUGAGGCACGAAAGCGUGGGGAGCAAACAGGAUUAGAUACCCGAGUAGUC